GGUCCUUUAACUCAGUUGGUUAGAGUGUGGGUAUGUGGUUAACACGGGUGCUGAAUUAGAAUUGAUCGGCUAACAUCUAUAAGUGCUAAUAUUUGAAACGCCAAAGUCGCGAGUUCGACCCUCGUAAGGACCA
Molecule: transfer RNA, 133 nt
Filed under: Alectoria sarmentosa
Lineage: Eukaryota; Fungi; Ascomycota; Lecanoromycetes; Lecanorales; Parmeliaceae
Description: tRNA-His
Rfam family: tRNA
About the family: Transfer RNA (tRNA) molecules are approximately 80 nucleotides in length. Their secondary structure includes four short double-helical elements and three loops (D, anti-codon, and T loops). Further hydrogen bonds mediate the characteristic L-shaped molecular structure. tRNAs have two regions of fundamental functional importance: the anti-codon, which is responsible for specific mRNA codon recognition, and the 3' end, to which the tRNAs corresponding amino acid is attached (by aminoacyl-tRNA synthetases). tRNAs cope with the degeneracy of the genetic code in two manners: having more than one tRNA (with a specific anti-codon) for a particular amino acid; and 'wobble' base-pairing, i.e. permitting non-standard base-pairing at the 3rd anti-codon position.
Source: RNAcentral